This 253-nucleotide ribosomal RNA is filed under the name uncultured bacterium. RNAcentral's name for it is "partial 16S ribosomal RNA". It matches the Rfam family "Bacterial small subunit ribosomal RNA", at positions 524 to 776 of the family's 1533-position model. The record is from RNAcentral.
AACGUAGGACGCAAGCGUUAUCCGGAAUUACUGGGCGUAAAGCGCGUGUAGGUGGUUUUAUAAGUCACUGUUGAAAGCGCCCGGCUAAACUGGGCGAGGUGCGGUGAGACUGUAGGACUGGAGUACGGGAGAGGGGUGCGGAAUUCCGGGUGUAGUGGUGAAAUGCGUAGAGAUCCGGAGGAACACCAGAGGCGAAGGCGGCACCCUGGCCUGAAACUGACACUGAGACGCGAAAGCAUGGGGAGCGAACGGG